AGAUUAAGUUAUUAAGGGCGCACGGUGGAUGCCUUGGCACUAGAAGCCGAUGAAGGACGUUACUAACGACGAUAUGCUUUGGGGAGCUGUAAGUAAGCUUUGAUCCAGAGAUUUCCGAAUGGGGAAACCCAGCAUGAGUUAUGUCAUGUUAUCGAUAUGUGAAUACAUAGCAUAUCAGAAGGCACACCCGGAGAACUGAAACAUCUUAGUACCCGGAGGAAGAGAAAGAAAAUUCGAUUCCCUUAGUAGCGGCGAGCGAAACGGGAAGAGCCCAAACCAACAAGCUUGCUUGUUGGGGUUGUAGGACACUCUAUACGGAGUUACAAAGGACGACAUUAGACGAAUCAUCUGGAAAGAUGAAUCAAAGAAGGUAAUAAUCCUGUAGUCGAAAAUGUUGUCUCUCUUGAGUGGAUCCUGAGUACGACGGAGCACGUGAAAUUCCGUCGGAAUCUGGGAGGACCAUCUCCUAAGGCUAAAUACUCUCUAGUGACCGAUAGUGAACCAGUACCGUGAGGGAAAGGUGAAAAGCACCCCGGAAGGGGAGUGAAAUAGAACCUGAAACCGUGUGCUUACAAGUAGUCAGAGCCCGUUAAUGGGUGAUGGCGUGCCUUUUGUAGAAUGAACCGGCGAGUUACGAUUUGAUGCAAGGUUAAGCAGUAAAUGUGGAGCCGUAGCGAAAGCGAGUCUGAAUAGGGCGUUUAGUAUUUGGUCGUAGACCCGAAACCAGGUGAUCUACCCUUGGUCAGGUUGAAGUUCAGGUAACACUGAAUGGAGGACCGAACCGACUUACGUUGAAAAGUGAGCGGAUGAACUGAGGGUAGCGGAGAAAUUCCAAUCGAACCUGGAGAUAGCUGGUUCUCUCCGAAAUAGCUUUAGGGCUAGCCUCAAGUGAUGAUUAUUGGAGGUAGAGCACUGUUUGGACGAGGGGCCCCUCUCGGGUUACCGAAUUCAGACAAACUCCGAAUGCCAAUUAAUUUAACUUGGGAGUCAGAACAUGGGUGAUAAGGUCCGUGUUCGAAAGGGAAACAGCCCAGACCACCAGCUAAGGUCCCAAAAUAUAUGUUAAGUGGAAAAGGAUGUGGCGUUGCCCAGACAACUAGGAUGUUGGCUUAGAAGCAGCCAUCAUUUAAAGAGUGCGUAAUAGCUCACUAGUCGAGUGACACUGCGCCGAAAAUGUACCGGGGCUAAACAUAUUACCGAAGCUGUGGAUUGUCCUUUGGACAAUGGUAGGAGAGCGUUCUAAGGGCGUUGAAGCAUGAUCGUAAGGACAUGUGGAGCGCUUAGAAGUGAGAAUGCCGGUGUGAGUAGCGAAAGACGGGUGAGAAUCCCGUCCACCGAUUGACUAAGGUUUCCAGAGGAAGGCUCGUCCGCUCUGGGUUAGUCGGGUCCUAAGCUGAGGCCGACAGGCGUAGGCGAUGGAUAACAGGUUGAUAUUCCUGUACCACCUAUAAUCGUUUUAAUCGAUGGGGGGACGCAGUAGGAUAGGCGAAGCGUGCGAUUGGAUUGCACGUCUAAGCAGUAAGGCUGAGUAUUAGGCAAAUCCGGUACUCGUUAAGGCUGAGCUGUGAUGGGGAGAAGACAUUGUGUCUUCGAGUCGUUGAUUUCACACUGCCGAGAAAAGCCUCUAGAUAGAAAAUAGGUGCCCGUACCGCAAACCGACAC
This 1662-nucleotide ribosomal RNA is filed under the name Staphylococcus aureus. RNAcentral describes it as "partial 23S ribosomal RNA". It matches the Rfam family "Bacterial large subunit ribosomal RNA", at positions 1 to 1660 of the family's 2925-position model. The record is from RNAcentral. Lineage: Bacteria; Bacillati; Bacillota; Bacilli; Caryophanales; Staphylococcaceae.